This 427-nucleotide ribosomal RNA is filed under the name uncultured bacterium. RNAcentral describes it as "partial 16S ribosomal RNA". It matches the Rfam family "Bacterial small subunit ribosomal RNA", at positions 355 to 774 of the family's 1533-position model. The record is from RNAcentral.
UGGGGAAUAUUGCACAAUGGGCGCAAGCCUGAUGCAGCCAUGCCGCGUGUGUGAAGAAGGCCUUCGGGUUGUAAAGCACUUUCAGCGAGGAGGAAGGGUAGUGUGUUAAUAGCACAUUGCAUUGACGUUACUCGCAGAAGAAGCACCGGCUAACUCCGUGCCAGCAGCCGCGGUAAUACGGAGGGUGCAAGCGUUAAUCGGAAUUACUGGGCGUAAAGCGCACGCAGGCGGUUUGUUAAGUCAGAUGUGAAAUCCCCGCGCUUAACGUGGGAACUGCAUUUGAAACUGGCAAGCUAAAGUCUUGUAGAGGGGGGUAGAAUUCCAGGUGUAGCGGUGAAAUGCGUAGAGAUCUGGAGGAAUACCGGUGGCGAAGGCGGCCCCCUGGACAAAGACUGACGCUCAGGUGCGAAAGCGUGGGGAGCAAACA